AGAGUUUGAUCCUGGCUCAGAAUGAACGCUGGCGGCGUGCUUAACACAUGCAAGUCGAACGAGAACACCCUGCUUCGGUGGGGUAAGUAAAGUGGCGCACGGGUGAGUAACGCGUGGGUAAUCUACCUCUGGAUUUGGGAUAACAUUGCGAAAGCGAUGCUAAUACCGGAUGAAGUUCAUUUAUUUACGGAUAGAUGGAUGAAAGGUGGCCUCUGCAAGCAAGCUACUGUUUAGAGAUGAGCCCGCGUCCCAUUAGCUAGUUGGUAGGGUAAAGGCCUACCAAGGCGACGAUGGGUAGCUGGUCUGAGAGGAUGAUCAGCCACACCGGAACUGACACACGGUCCGGACUCCUACGGGAGGCAGCAGUGAGGAAUUUUGCGCAAUGGGGGAAACCCUGACGCAGCAACGCCGCGUGAGUGAAGAAGGCCUUCGGGUUGUAAAGCUCUUUCAGCCGGGAAGAAAUCGCACAGGCUAAUACCUUGUGUGGAUGACGGUACCGGAAUAAGAAGCACCGGCUAACUACGUGCCAGC
Molecule: ribosomal RNA, 531 nt
Filed under: uncultured bacterium
Lineage: Bacteria
Description: bacterial SSU rRNA
Rfam family: Bacterial small subunit ribosomal RNA
Source: RNAcentral